AAUUCAUCAAAAAGUUGCCACGCGGGAAGGAACAAAUUAUACAAUAUGGACGAAGACGUAGCAGCAAUCGUAAUUGACAAUGGCUCUGGUAUGUGCAAAGCUGGAUUUGCCGGAGAUGAUGCACCAAGAGCAGUGUUUCCAUCAAUUGUUGGACGUCCUCGUCAUCAGGUUGGUAUUUGAGACUUUUUAUUUUCAAAUCUGAAUACUUCCAUCCUCAAAUUCACAUUUAUAAGUAACUUACUUGCCACGAGUCAUUAAGUUGACUUGAUGUCACCAAAAGUAACUAAACACCCACCAGUUUAUCUGAUAAAGAAAAUAUUUUGAUUUUCAACUGUCAAACUAUGGAGCAUUGUUUUUCGUUGCCGUAAUGCGAGUUAUUCCCCUUUGUCGCCAUCUUUUAAAGAACAACGUGCUCGCUGUCUUUCAUGACACAAAUCAGUCAAAUUCAACUGGUUUUUAUAGUACACUGUAACAGAUUUAUAACGCUAGACUUACGAGAAACAUUUUUUAUUUGGUAUAGCCUAAUGCAGCAACCAUUUGAUUUUCUGGGGGGGGGGCUAUGGUUUUUUUUUCUGGACAAAUUAUUUUUUUCGCGACAAGUCGCAACAAUUUUUUUCUUUUCAAUUUUAGCAUUACAUAUAGUGGCAGCUGAGGGUGAAACAAACCCCCCCCCCCCCCCAGAAAAUCAAAUGGUUGCUGCCUAAGCCCUUGUAAUUACGAAUUAUUCUAGAUUAGAUUUGUUUGAGACUUGCCAAGCUGCUUGCACAAGUUGCAGCCUGUAGCAUGGCAUGUUUUUAUGUUGGAAAAAGUGGGGGGGGGGAGGGGGGUAUAGGGGACAGGAACAUUUGAAAAUAAUAUGUCUGGUAUUAAAAGAUAUGAAAAUUCCCAAAUAGAAUGUUUGUUUAAUUUCUGUAAGAUAAAGUCCAAGGAAUAAUUGUGUACAAGAUUGUUAAUAUAUAUAUCAUAUCUCUGUGUGUCAAAAGGAACUUGCGUUUUGCAAUUAUUGGCAUUGCUAUUAAUAUAACUUUUUAAAGACUUUGAUAUUCUUUGGGGGGGGGGGGGGGAGGUAGGUAACAUAAAUGUAAUCUAUAUGAACAUGAAUGACAUUCUUCGUCUGAAAUAUAUAAAGGCUAUGAGCUAUAAUUAGUAUAUUAAUGCCCUACAUAUGAUCAACAGUGCUUACAUAUUAUUUAUUAUCACAAAUCCAAAAAGACCUUACGAAGAAAAAACAUGGCGGAUAGUUUUGUGUGCUUCUUGCCUAUCUUGGUCCAAUUUAAAUUAAAUGCCGAUCAUCAGAAUAAUAUACAUCGUAAUACUAAUGAACUUUUAAUUAAUAAUCAUAGUGUAAUAGGAUAUUGAUUUAUUCACGCACUGCCUCGUCAAAUCAAUUAUUCAAUAAAUGACUGGUCAAUCUCCCCUGAAUGUGUUGUCUUGGUUAAUAAUUUGAUAGAUUGAGUGAUUGAUUGUUGAUUGCUUAACAUGAUGAAAAAUUUUGUCCUGCAUUUUUUUUUAGUUGUAAUCUCUGUCCUGCCUUUUUAUUUUUCACUCUAUUCGGUCCGGCCUUUUUUUUAUUAGUUUAUCCUGACUUUUUUUACCUAAAUUGUCAUCCUGCCUUUUUUUUUGCAAAGUGUCUCAUCCUGCCUUUUUUUUACUCAAAACUCCUGUCCUGCCUAUUUUUUUUUUUCAAAUUUCAUCCUAGCCCCCCCCCCCCUCCCCCCAUAAAAAUCAAAUGGUAGCUCCCUAAUGAGAGCACGUACUAGUUUUUACAGUAUUAAUAUCUGGUGGAAUCACGGUAGGUAUGGUUGUCCUGCGAGAGAACGUACUGUGCUGGUGAUUCGGUCCUGACGGUGCUGGUGAUCAAUGAAAAAAUGUAAACAAAGACGAAAAUGAUGAUUUUUUGACGUUUUCACUAAUAAAAAAUGGAAGAAAACAGUUGAGAUUUUUUAAUUUCGUUUCUUAUGGGUUCAUAUAUAAACCAUUAAAAAAAUUGACCCUCUAAACUGUUUCAGUAAGCGUAACACAAAAAUGCUCAUUUUCAGAAAAUCUCGAACUGAAAAAAUAAACAAAAAUGCUCAUAGAAGUCCGCUUUCUAUACCGCAAUCCACACGACAAAACAAUUUUGUGAAAAACAUUGCAAUUUCUUAAAAUUUAGCAUUUUCUCAAUUUAUGCAUGUCCUGAUACUGUGCUGGUGGUCCUGUCAUUGUGCUGGUGGUCCUGAUACGGUGCCGGUGAUUUUGGAUAAGAAGUUGGUCAUAUUUGAAACAAUGUUACAAAAUCAAUAAAAUUGGGCAGAUAAUUGUUGCCAACAGGAUCUAUGACUCCUAUUUUAGCUCUUGUGCAUCCAUUUGGCUGUUUAAUAUGUGUUUUCAAAUGACUUAACUUGUAUUACAUAAUAACAUAAAAGGGCAACAUCUUUCGUCCAAUAUCAGAUAACAAUAUAUACUAUCUAAAAUAAGUUAAAAAUUCACAAUACUAUAUAAUUCAUUUUAUGUGUCAAUUUGUUCGAAAAAAGUCGAAAAGAAGAGAGUUUAAGUUAAUGUCAUGAUUAUCUGUCGCUUUCUAGAUCUAUGCUUAGCAUUUAUUUCAGAUGACAUGGACUCUUCACCCUGAUGACCUGCUGCCUUUCAUAACUUCAUCCGUAUACAUAUAUUAAUAGAUAAACGAAAGGCUGCAAACUGGUAUUUUUGUAUUUAAAAUGAUUCGUUGUAACGAGAAUAUUUGUGUGAAUGGAAACUGUGAGGGUCAAAAUCUUAAAUUGCUUAUACAUGUUGCUGGACCUAGUUUCGUUAUCUGAUCCGAAUUUUCUGAAAUGUGCAAGGUAGAUAGACAUUUUGAUUUGUUUACUCGGUAAUGACCCUUGUGUUGAUCCCAUGGUAAACAUAACAAAAAUCUCUGUACAAAGGUCUGUGAAUUUUCUACAAAAAUAGUGAUUUUAUUUUCACUAAAUUCUCUUUUUCUACUAAAUACAAUAAUGAACUAUAAUAAAUAAUAAUGCUUGCAAGAAGUUUCCCCCUUGAUAUAUGCACAUUUCGUAAUUGACAUUGUCAUAAACCGUAACGAAAAGAUAAAAUAUUGAUAUAAGUACUUAAUUUGCAUCUUUGACCCCCCACCCGGCUUGUUUUUUAGGAGCCUGGGUGUCUAAAAAUGGUCGAUUACAGACAGCCGAGUACGCAUUUUUACUUUCCAGGCGUGUUUAUGUUUUUUAAAUAUAAAUUAAGGCUACAUUUUAAUAUAAUAAUUCUAUGAAUUCACAAUAUAAAAAAAUGCAGAAAAAAAAUGAAUGAAGUGAAAUAUCUUAGUAAGGAGUCAUAACUACAGAGAUGGUGUGUUUUGACACCACAAAACUUAAAAGCUUAGUGAUAUUACCAAUAUUAAAAAAAAUUUUAGUUGGGUAUUUUUUCCAUUUACUCAUUUUCAAUUAUAAUCAAGGCACAUUUGAUUUUUAUUCAUGAAAAUAUUUAAAUAUAGAAAAGUAGGACACAUUGUUUCACUUCCUCCCCCGUAAUUCUUAUCAAAAAUAUUUAUUUUGAAAUGAAAAAGCUAAGAAAUCUUAGGUUUUUUAGUGUUUUUCUAGGUUAUCUCGUCUUCAUUCUCUGACAUAUUCUAGCUUGCCCUUUCAUAAAAUAGUGAUUUUUUUAGUGUUUUAUCGAAUUUUCGAAAAACAAAUACAUGAUAACCGCUUAGACAAAAAAAAAUAUGUUGGAAAAAUCUUACAGCAAGUGAUUCUUAAUAGCUAUAGCCUCGGUCACACCUUACCGGAUAGCUCGAACGGACGCCUAACGGAUAAAAAAAAAGUUAUCCGUUGACAAAAUUUGUAUCUGUUGGGAGUCCGUUGGUGUACUAACGAACAUGUAACGAAUGCCAAACGGACACACAACGGACACUGAACGUACGUGAAACGGAUACGUACCGGACAGAAUGGACGUCGAACGUACAUCCAACGGACGAGUACCGGAUAAAACAGACACCGCUAUGGAAGCGUAACGGAUAAAACGGAUGAACAAAUAAUCUGAAAAUUAAAGGCAAUAAACCAUCUAAAAAUUAAAGGCAAUAAACCAUGAGAAAUUUCAAUUGGCAUUUGUCCAUUUUACAUCCGGUAGUCAUCCGUUUUAUCCGUUAUCCUUCCGUUAAUAUCCGUUUUACAUCCUUUGUUUAUCCGUUAGGCGUCGGUAGACAUCCGUUGGUGAAUGGGUCUACCGGAUCUCCAACGGAUGCAUAACGGAUACGUAACGGAUACAAAACGGACGAGUACCGUACAAAAACGGAUGCCUAACGGACGUUCAACGGACAUUUUAUCCGUUUGGACGUCCGUUCAAAGUUUGAACAUGCUCAAAAUUUUCCACCGGACAGAACGGACGUCAACGGAUAAAACGGACAUGCAACGGAUAUGGACGGACGCCUAACGGAUAAGAACGGACGUCCAACGGACAUGAACGGAUUGAGAAAAAUUUAUCCGUUAGGCGUCCGUUCGAGCUAUCCGGUAAGGUGUGACCAGGCUAAUAUAAGAUACAUUUUUCUUUUACAAUCCACCUUUAAAAUUUUACGGGAAACUAUUCCAAGCUUUCACAGUAACCUCGCUUUAACUUAUCCCCCUCCCUCCCACCCUCCCCCAAAAAAACACCAAACAACAAACCCGCAAUACUAUUGUCAUUCUAUAGUCAACACUCAAUUGUUCACAAACAAAUGUGUUUAAGCUGCUAAAGACAUGAUUCAAACGCUCAGAAAGUCCUUUGUUCUAUAUUUAUGCAAAACUUUCACAUUUUUAUUUUAUGGGUUAUUGUUGAAGGUCGUACGAUGACGUAUGGUUGUUAACACAUACUUCCUUUGGUUUCUUAUGGAAAUUUGUCCAUUGACAACAAACAUACCACAUCAUCUACAUUAUAUUAAGUAUUGUAUAAAUUACAACGUAUUUUGGUGAUCUUGCAAAAUGAUCGUAGUCCCGAAAAUCGUAAAUAUUUUCUUAUCUUAAAAGGGGCAAGAAGGGUUCCAUUACAGGCCAUAAAUAUAGAUUACAGUUAAUUAUUUUUUUUUUUUUUUAAUAGGGGUAUUUUUUCUUUCAUAUAAUAAACAGAUUCACAGCAAUGCCAAUUUCAAGAAAGCAGACCAUUAGUCAACAACAACAAAGCAUCACUGCUCUUGAAUAUAUGCCACUUUUAACUAAAAUAAAAAGCACAGAACCAGACAUAGGAGCACAGAAAAGGACCGUUUUUCUUAUCACCAGCACAGCGUCAGGACAAUUCCGUUUUAACGAACUUGCACGACUUUUGCAAUAUAAUAUUGUUGUAAUAUACUUUGCAUGGUACUUAUGACACAUCAGAGAAAAUUAGCAACAAAACAGUCGUUUUAUUGCCGUUCUGAUACAUGUAAACAAACCCACCACACAGAUCAGGACCCACCAGCACCGUCAGGACCAAAUCACCAGCAAGUACUUCCUCGGCAGGACAACCAUACCCACCGUGGGAAUGUGAAUAGAUUUAAUACGUUCUUUGCUCACCCUGUGUCGUAUGAAAGUAUUGUUGUCAUCCUCAGCCUAAGCUAUUGUUACGUAAAUUUGAAUUUCAAAAUGACCGAGUGACGUGUUUUUAUGCACUGGCCAACUCCACUACCAUAGCGAAUUACAUGAUUUUAACAAUCAAUAAAUACCUUUAUAAGUUAAGAAUUGUCGCAUACAAAUUAAAUACACUAGUCUAGAAAUGGCAAAGUUUACUACGGAAGCGUAUUAGGGACAUAGAAAAAAUAAAAUUGGCAGUGAACUUUUUUUCAAAGUCGAAAUUUGACUUUUCAAAUCUCGAAAAUUUUGACUUAACUUGAAAAUUUUGACUUUUCAAAUCGAAAUUUUUACAUAAACUUGAAAUUUUGACUUUCAAAAAUCGUGAAAUUUCGACUUUUUGAAAAAGUCGAAAUAUUGACUUUUUUGAAACUCGAAAUUUCGACUUACAAAAAGUCGAAAUUUUCACUUUAAACUCGAAAUUUCGACUUUUUUUAACUCAAAAUUUCGAUUUUUUUAAACUCAAUAUUUCGACUUUUUUAAACUCAAAAUUCGACUUUUAAAAACUCAAAAUUUCGACUUAUUUUAACUCGAAAUUUAACUUAUUAAAUUCAAAUUUCGACUUUUUUAAAACUCGAAGUUUUGACUUAUUUUAAACUCGAAAUUUUCAACUUAUUUAAACUUCAAAUUUCGACUUUUUUUUUAAACUCAAAAAUUUCGAUUUUUUUUUACAAUCGAAAUUUCGACUUUGAUCCCUUUUAAAACUUUGAUGUUAGUAUUCAAACACAGUUAUUACAAUUUUAGAAGGAAAAGACAUGGACGCAAAUUAUUAAAGCGUCAUCAACACAUUUUGGCAAUUUAUAUUUUGAAAUAGCUUUUGUUCCAUGUUUUAGUUCCCACGACACUGUAUAGAAUCGUCAUAUCUGAGAACAUAUAGCAUCGCAGUUUCAAAGGCCUGUUGGUUUCCCAAUGCAAUCACUGACUUUGCCUUGUUUAAACAAUGGUAAAUCAAGUAGCCAAAAAUGCCAUGCAUAUUCAGGACGACAAAAUGAGCUGCUCGGUUUUCUAGUUUUGGAAUUUUGAAAUGAAUAAAUUGUUCUUUUUUUGGGAAUAUUGAUUAAACUCUACAAGUUGACAUUCUUAGUUUAAACAUAUUUAUUUACAAGUUGACAUUCUUAUGACACAACUAUUAACCCUUGUCUUUAUAUAUCAGACUUGAAUAAAGUUCUCGUAUCAUGCGUGUAUCGGAAUAACGGUUGUCUGAUACAAUACUGAAGUCAGACUUGAAAUAUGCAUUUGAACGUAAACAUUUUAUUUAUUCUUCGGCAAGAAUAAGUUUUCUAUCUAAAAUAACCUCUUUUAAAUGUUUAGUUUAUUAAAUUGCUUAUAAGUUAUGAUGUAUAUGGCUUCCGCUGCUGAUAUAAAUGACUGUGAAUGUGGUAAUCGCACGUUAAAUACUAAGGAAAAUUCGAAUUUUGAGUUAAAACAAGUCGAAAUUUUGAGUUAAAAAGAAGUGACAAUUCGAGUUAGAAAAUAGAAUUCAGUUUUAAAAAAGUCGAAUUUUGAGUUAAGUCAAAAUUUCGACUUUUUAUAAAGGCAAAAUUCGAAUUUAAAGUCAAAAUUUCGACUCUUGAAAAGUCAAAAUUUCAAGAUAAGAAAAGUAAAAUUUCGAGUUUAAGUCGAAAUUUUAAGAUUUGAAUGUAAAAUUUCGACUUUGAAAAAAAAGCUGCACUGCAUUUUAUUUUUCUUGUCCCUAAUACGCUUCCGUAGUUUACGAAGUCUAACCUAAUUAAUCAUUUUACUAUCAAUCGCAUUCAAAAAAACUAAAAAAUGAAAAUUUCAGUUUAAAAACGUUAAAAAUUAAUAAGAAUGCGAAGUCAUAUGUUAUAGACUAUAUUUUACUAUAUCAUGUAUGUCCAGUGGCAUGUUCAUAUUUCUCCAAAAUGCUUUUUACCAUUAACGUGAAACUCUAUAAUAUUAUAGAGCAAACUAAUGGGGUGGGGGGCUCACAAGUUUUCUUUGUAAUAAUGCUUAAUUCCUAUGGUGCAAACUUUAAUGCAAUUUUUACUGGCUGUAAAUAUCACUUGUCAGAACAUCAACAGGCCAAUUAUCCAUAUAUAGUCAUAAUGACAUAUAUGUAUGCAGGUAGGUCGAAGAUGUUCAAUCAGGGGUGAAAAACAAUAUGCAACAACUAUUUUUAAAGUUCAUCGUAACAAUUAUCUCUGGCUGUUAGUUUAAUAAUAAAAAUAAGACGUUGCGUAUUUGUGUGUAUAUUUCACAUAUCUGACAUUUAAUAAGAAAAACGUACGAUUAUGGUUUAGGAAUACAUUUAAAUUUAAAUUAAUGAGUCUCCUCAUGGAGUUUUUGAUUAUGAAAUUACUUGGCCAUUUUUAUAGUGAUUGUUUGAUUUAUCUCUUGGUUUAUAAGAAAAUAAAUAAUGAUUCUGUGAUUAUAAUGGCAAAAAAUGUGAUUAUGUCAUUACUUGGACAUCCCCAUGAUAGGGCAUUUAUAACCUGUCAAAUUCAUGACCACCGACAAGACCUAAAUUUUCAUAUUUUCUUUAUAACAUACUAUGGCGAAUAUCCAAAAUUACAAAAAAAUGUCCAACAGAAACAAUUAAAAAUACAUGUGCUCGCUAAAAUGUACCAGCAUUUCGUGCGUAUUUUUAGACCAGACGCUCUCAGACGCCACCUUAUUAUCCAUCGUUUUUACCUCCGAAGACUUCCGACGGUAUUAUAACCCGAUAUAAAUAUCAAUGAAAAUAGAUAGCGAGCACGUGCAAUCGGAUUUUCUAGGUAUGUGUGAUGUCAAUGUAUCAUGUUAUAUUUAAAAAUUAUGUGUAAAUCAUCGUGUAAUAGUUAUUUUUUUCAAGAUGUCCUCGAAUAGGAAAACAAAACUAUUUUUUACAACCAAAUGUCAAAGGACUAGAAUCUUCCUUCUGUUUAAGUGGUAUAAAAAUUGGAAUGUUUUGCCAAAUUAUUUUAAAAAAAAUGAGCGUCUUAGGCGUCUAGACUCAAAUCUUAGCAUGAAAGCUGGUAUCAAUCGGAUGAGUAAUGUCCUUUUCAAAUGAUUUCUGUAGUUUCAAUUGUUUUUGUGUUGUUACACAAGUCAACUGUCCCAGGUUAUACUUAUAGUGCCUAGUGGGUAUUGGGUUUUGCUCUUUGAAGUCAGUACAGUGAUAUACUUUACAGUUGCUUUUUUUUUACGUCAUCAUGCGAAGAGCUGACUCGUCAAUAUAUUCACAUCUAAUUGUUAUAUAUUUAUUAACGAAAUGCACAUUAAGGUGAUAUCUUACAUUUUUAUAAGUUUCUCUAUAUUUUUUUCAGGGAGUAAUGGUUGGAAUGGGCCAGAAAGAUUGCUAUGUAGGAGAUGAAGCACAAAGUAAAAGGGGCAUCCUCACUUUGAAAUAUCCAAUUGAACAUGGUAUCGUCACAAACUGGGAUGAUAUGCAGAAGAUCUGGCAUCACACAUACUACAACGAACUUAGAGUUGCCCCGGAGGAACACCCAACAUUACUCACAGAGGCUCCGCUCAAUCCAAAAGCCAACAGAGAAAAGAUGACACAAAUUAUGUUUGAAACUUUCAACACGCCUGCCACAUAUGUAGCCAUACAAGCUGUACUGUCAUUAUACGCGUCUGGUAGAACCACAGGGAUGGUGCUAGACUCGGGUGAUGGUGUCACACAUACGGUUCCCAUCUAUGAAGGUUAUGCACUUCCUCAUGCUAUUCUCCGUCUAGAUUUAGCUGGGCGAGACUUGACCGAUUAUCUGGUGAAGAUCUUAACAGAGAGGGGAUAUUCGUUCACAACUACCGCUGAAAGAGAAAUUGUAAGAGAUAUAAAGGAAAAGCUUUGUUAUGUGGCUUUAGAUUUCGAACAAGAAAUGUCCACCGCGGCGUCUUCAUCGUCGCUAGAAAAGAGCUACGAACUGCCAGAUGGACAAGUUAUUACAAUUGGAAAUGAAAGAUUCAGAUGCCCAGAGGCUGUGCUUCAGCCAUCCUUUUUGGGUAUGGAGUCUGUCGGAAUUCAUGAAACUACGUACAACUCUAUAAUGAAAUGUGAUGUGGAUAUUCGAAAAGAUCUGUAUGCCAACACUGUCCUGUCAGGAGGGUCCACGAUGUAUCCCGGUAUUGCCGACAGAAUGCAGAAAGAAAUCACCUCUUUGGCACCAAGCACCAUGAAAAUUAAAAUCAUUGCACCUCCUGAGAGAAAGUAUUCCGUAUGGAUAGGAGGAUCAAUUUUAGCCUCGCUCUCGACUUUCCAGCAGAUGUGGAUUAGCAAACAAGAGUACGACGAGGCAGGACCAAGUGUCGUGCAUAGAAAAUGUUUCUAGACCGAUAUUUUAAGGGACAGAAAUAGCUUUGCGCAUGACCGAUAUUAUGUAACAGAAGAAUUUUAAAAUAGAUAAAGAAAUGUAAUAUAUAUCAUCAAACUGUAAAACAUUAGAAUGAAUUAUAUAACAAAUUGUAUUGAUGUGUGACAUUGUGUUAUUGUUUUAAUU
Molecule: long non-coding RNA, 9988 nt
Filed under: Mytilus galloprovincialis (Mediterranean mussel)
Lineage: Eukaryota; Metazoa; Mollusca; Bivalvia; Mytilida; Mytilidae
Source: RNAcentral